GCGGGUGUAGCUCAGUUGGUUAGAGCGCGGGCCUGUCACGCCCGAGGUCGCGGGUUCGAGCCCCGUCACUCGCGCCA
Molecule: transfer RNA, 77 nt
Filed under: Alphaproteobacteria bacterium
Lineage: Bacteria; Pseudomonadati; Pseudomonadota; Alphaproteobacteria
Description: tRNA-Asp
Rfam family: tRNA
About the family: Transfer RNA (tRNA) molecules are approximately 80 nucleotides in length. Their secondary structure includes four short double-helical elements and three loops (D, anti-codon, and T loops).
Source: RNAcentral